This 273-nucleotide long non-coding RNA is filed under the name Gossypium raimondii (Peruvian cotton). RNAcentral's name for it is "long non-coding RNA (GRAI_LNC010729)". The record is from RNAcentral. Lineage: Eukaryota; Viridiplantae; Streptophyta; Magnoliopsida; Malvales; Malvaceae.
UGACCUAUUGUGAAAAACUUCCAACAAACGGGUUAGACCAAGAUGAGGGCAGAGUAGAAAAACACCAACCUGGUGUACUCCAUUGUGCACUUGGCGAGGAGGGAGGCCAUGUUGUCACAGGAGGACCGGCCACGCACAUAUUGACUUGUGGGGGAGGCCUGUAAUUAUUGCUCUUGUAAGUUGAAUCAAAUCGAUGAUAACACCGAUCAACAAGAUGACCAGGUUUUCCACAUAGUUGAUACUGAAUUUUUGAGUUAGAAUAUCGUCCUCGAC